CCGUUUUCUUUCAAUUUCGUCUUCUAGUUCGUUCUUUUAGCGUCUCCACGCUUGAAGAGCUCCACAACAAACAACACGUGUUUGUGUGACAGAACGAUGUUCCUCAAGACUUGGAGAUGUCUGGCGAAAAGAAAUGUCAGUGGCACGUGGAUAAGACUAUUCUCAUCUCAUGACAAUCCAUUGGGCAUUCCUCCUUCUUCAAGUAAAAAGUCACAAGAGGAACUGAGAAGAGAACACAUGGCUCGAGGGUUGCCACGGAAACGUCAGAUUGAUGGGGUAAAACAUGUCAUCGUUGUUGCAUCAGGAAAAGGAGGAGUUGGAAAAUCAACAACAGCAGUGAAUCUUGCUUUGGGCCUAGCAGCCAAUGAACCGAUGAAGGACAUUGGGCUGCUGGAUGCUGAUGUUUAUGGCCCAUCAAUACCCAAACUGAUGAACCUGCACGGAGAGCCAGAACUUACGACAGAUAAUCUGAUGAGGCCACUAGUGAAUUAUGGAAUAAAAUGUAUGUCCAUGGGAUUUCUGGUGGAGGAGAAUGCAGCCAUUGUGUGGAGGGGCUUGAUGGUGAUGGCAGCCAUUGAGAGACUCACCAGGCAAGUGAGUGUCAUGGACCCCACUGGAUUACCUGGUCAUAGACAUGCCACCUGGGACUGGCGACGUCCAGUUGUCCAUAUCACAAAACAUCCCAGUCUCAGGUGCUGUGGUUGUGACGACCCCACAGGACAUUGCGCUGCAGGAUGCACGUCGUGGAGCAGAGAUGUUCCGGAAAGUGAACGUCCCGGUGCUGGGACUGAUCCAGAACAUGAGUGUCUUCGUGUGUCCAAAGUGCGGACACCAAGAACAUAUUUUUGGGAAAGAUGGUGCAGAAGGAAUUGCUAGGGAAAUGAACUUGGACAUUAUAGGUGACAUACCACUGCACAGACGCAUCCGUGAGCUGUCCGACACUGGCCAACCUAUUGUGAUAGCUGAACCAGACAGUCCUCAGGCAGAGACUUACAGAUCUAUAGCA
This 1006-nucleotide unclassified non-coding RNA is filed under the name Haliotis rubra (blacklip abalone). Its description in RNAcentral is "iron-sulfur protein NUBPL-like, transcript variant X2". The record is from RNAcentral. Lineage: Eukaryota; Metazoa; Mollusca; Gastropoda; Lepetellida; Haliotidae.